Molecule: long non-coding RNA, 360 nt
Filed under: Homo sapiens (human)
Lineage: Eukaryota; Metazoa; Chordata; Mammalia; Primates; Hominidae
Description: HSALNT0260823
Source: RNAcentral
GAAACUUUCUAUUUGACAAGUGUGUGAUCAGGGAUCUCUACAUGAAUUCUCCACAGAAAGACUGAUCUCAUGGAUCUAGAAUUUGCAGUGGUUCUUGUGAUUAGAUACCUGAAGGAAAUAUUGCUCUUAUGUGACAUUAAAGAAGAAAAAUAUGACACUUACGGCAAGUAAAAAGACGGCGUGUGGUUCUAUACGCUUGUCUGGGGCUUUUAUUGUCUGCACCCUUUGGCCUUUUUGAGUUGCCAGCUUCUCCAGGUCCUCCAGCUUCUCAUGAGUUGCAUCUAGGCGAAGAUUCUGGGCACCAUGGUUUAGGCUUCAGAGCAGCAGAUGAGAGAGCAGCAGUGGAAAUGGGUCAGUGAC